Molecule: ribosomal RNA, 253 nt
Filed under: uncultured bacterium
Lineage: Bacteria
Description: partial 16S ribosomal RNA
Rfam family: Bacterial small subunit ribosomal RNA
Source: RNAcentral
UACGAAGGGGGCAAGCGUUGUUCGGAAUUAUUGGGCGUAAAGAGCUCGUAGGCGGCUUGUUGCGUCGACUGUGAAAACCCGCGGCUUAACCGCGGGCUUGCAGUUGAUACGGGCAGGCUAGAGUUCGGUAGGGGAGACUGGAAUUCCUGGUGUAGCGGUGAAAUGCGCAGAUAUCAGGAGGAACACCGGUGGCGAAGGCGGGUCUCUGGGCCGAUACUGACGCUGAGGAGCGAAAGCGUGGGGAGCGAACAGG